Molecule: ribosomal RNA, 253 nt
Filed under: uncultured bacterium
Lineage: Bacteria
Description: partial 16S ribosomal RNA
Rfam family: Bacterial small subunit ribosomal RNA
Source: RNAcentral
UACGUAGGGGGCAAGCGUUGUCCGGAAUUAUUGGGCGUAAAGAGCGCGUAGGCGGCACGGCAAGUCAGGAGUGAAAGCCCUGGGCUCAACCCGGGAACUGCUUUUGAAACUGCCGAGCUAGAGUGCGGAAGGGGCAACUGGAAUUCCCAGUGUAGCGGUGAAAUGCGUAGAUAUUGGGAAGAACACCUGAGGCGAAGGCGGGUUGCUGGGCCGACACUGACGCUGAUGCGCGAAAGCCAGGGGAGCGAACGGG